RNAcentral lists this ribosomal RNA (939 nucleotides) under Paraplanocera marginata. RNAcentral's name for it is "partial large subunit ribosomal RNA". It matches the Rfam family "Eukaryotic large subunit ribosomal RNA", at positions 107 to 858 of the family's 3401-position model. The record is from RNAcentral. Lineage: Eukaryota; Metazoa; Platyhelminthes; Polycladida; Planoceridae.
GCCCAGCACCGAAUCCUGUACCGUUCUGGUACUAGGAAAUGUGGUGUUUAGGCCGUGCUUUGUGCUGGUAUGACUCUCCUCAAGUCCACUUGAUUGUGGCUUCAGGCCCAGAGAGGGUGUAAGGCCCGUGGAGGCGAGUUGUCCGGUGCCCGGCACGUCCUUAGAGUCGGGUUGUUUGGGAAUGCAGCCCUAAGCGGGUGGUAAACUCCAUCCAAGGCUAAAUACUAGCACGAGUCCGAUAGCGAAGAAGUACCGCGAGGGAAAGUUGAAAAGAACUUUGAAGAGAGAGUUCAAGAGUACGUGAAACCGCUGAGAGGCAAACUGGUGGAGCUGAAAUGUUUCAAUGGAAUUCAGCCCUUCGCUUGGGAGAUAACACCAUUGUCAGAUCURAGACUGCGCCGGUGUCAUUCUUCUCGAGUGAUAGGUGCACUUUCUAUUGAACCGGACCACGACCAGCGAGUUGUUUUGUCUGAUAUUGCAGGAAGGUAGCGUCAACUCUCAGAUGACGUGUUAUAGACUGUGAUUCGGAGCGAGCGACGCGUUGGAUUACGGGAUGCCUGCCCUUUCGGGCUCGUACGUUGAAUCUUUCUGGGGUGUCUUUGGCUUCACUGUCUUGGCAGGGGUGUUGAAGACGCUCCAGUUAGGCUUGGCCUCUGCGAUUGGCGUCAACAGUCAGUGGUUUMGAAGUAGGCAGUCCACCUGACCCGUCUUGAAACACGGACCAAGGAGUCUAACAUGUGCGCGAGUCAUUGGGCUCUACGAAACCUAAAGGCGAAGUGAAAGUAAAGAUCCAUUUUGGUGGAUUGAGGUAGGAUCCUGGGCUACGCGCUCAGGCGCACUACCGGCCCGUCCGAUGUGUAACCACACGGGCGGCGCAAGAGCGUACACGUUGGGACCCGAAAGAUGGUGAACUAUGCUUGCGCAGGUCGAAGCCAGAGG